Molecule: non-coding RNA, 124 nt
Organism: Podarcis lilfordi (Lilford's wall lizard)
Lineage: Eukaryota; Metazoa; Chordata; Lepidosauria; Squamata; Lacertidae
Source: the annotation of a GenBank genome assembly
GACCAACUAAGUUAGUUCUUGGUAUGAGCUUUCGUGUGCAUGCACACUUCUUCACAUACCUGAAGAAGUAUCUGAAGAAGUGUGCAUGCACACGAAAGCUCAUACCAAGAACUAACUUAGUUGG